AUACGGAGGCUCCGAGCGUUAUCCGGAUUUAUUGGGUUUAAAGGGUGCGCAGGCGGCCAUUUAAGUCAGCGGUUAAAUCGUGGGGCUCAACCCCAUUCUGCCGUUGAUACUGGGUGGCUUGAUUGCGGUCGAGGCUGGCGGAAUUCGUUGUGUAGCGGGGAAAUGCAUAGAUAUGACGAAGAACACCGAUUGCGUAGGCAGCUGACCAGAUCGCAAAUGACGCUCAUGCACGAAAGUGCGGGGAUCGAACAGGAUUAGAUACCCUGGUAGUCCGCACAGUAAACGAUGAAUACUUGUUUUCGGCGAUAUAAUGUCGGAGGCAAAGCGAAAGCGAUAAGUAUUCCACCUGGGGAGUACGCCGGCAACGGUGAAACUCAAAUGAAUUGGCGGGG
RNAcentral lists this ribosomal RNA (392 nucleotides) under uncultured bacterium. Its description in RNAcentral is "partial 16S ribosomal RNA". It matches the Rfam family "Bacterial small subunit ribosomal RNA", at positions 523 to 918 of the family's 1533-position model. The record is from RNAcentral.